GGUAGGGUGGCCGAAGGCUCAGGCGGCGGAUUGUAGCCCCGAUAACAGAGGUUUAACUCCUCUCCUUACCA
RNAcentral lists this transfer RNA (71 nucleotides) under Clupea harengus (Atlantic herring). RNAcentral's name for it is "tRNA-Tyr". It matches the Rfam family "tRNA". From Rfam's summary of the family: Transfer RNA (tRNA) molecules are approximately 80 nucleotides in length. Their secondary structure includes four short double-helical elements and three loops (D, anti-codon, and T loops). Further hydrogen bonds mediate the characteristic L-shaped molecular structure. tRNAs have two regions of fundamental functional importance: the anti-codon, which is responsible for specific mRNA codon recognition, and the 3' end, to which the tRNAs corresponding amino acid is attached (by aminoacyl-tRNA synthetases). tRNAs cope with the degeneracy of the genetic code in two manners: having more than one tRNA (with a specific anti-codon) for a particular amino acid; and 'wobble' base-pairing, i.e. permitting non-standard base-pairing at the 3rd anti-codon position. Lineage: Eukaryota; Metazoa; Chordata; Actinopteri; Clupeiformes; Clupeidae. The record is from RNAcentral.